UCCGCACGAGCGCACCCCUNUCCUUAGUUGCCAGCNAUUCGGUCGGGAACUCUAAGGANACUGCCGGUGAUAAACCGGANGAAGGNGGGGACGACNUCNAGUCNUCAUGGCCCUUACGGGAUGGGCUACNCACGUGCUACAAUGGUAUGUACANAGGGUUGCGAACCUGCGAAGGUAAGCGGAUCCCUUAAAGCGUAUCGUAGUCCGGAUUGGAGUCUGCAACUCGACUCCNUGAAGUCGGAAUCGCUAGUAAUCGCAAAUCANAAUGUUGCGGUGAAUACGUUCCCGGGCCUUGNACACACCGCCCGU
This 309-nucleotide ribosomal RNA is filed under the name uncultured bacterium. Its description in RNAcentral is "partial 16S ribosomal RNA". It matches the Rfam family "Bacterial small subunit ribosomal RNA", at positions 1085 to 1397 of the family's 1533-position model. The record is from RNAcentral.